UACGGAGGGUGCAAGCGUUAUCCGGAUUCACUGGGUUUAAAGGGAGCGCAGGCGGCUUUGUAAGUCAGUGGUGAAAGGCUUAAGCUUAACUUGGGAACUGCCAUUGAUACUAUAAGUCUUGAAUGUUGUUGAGGUUUGCGGAAUGGGUCAUGUAGCGGUGAAAUGCAUAGAUAUGACCCGGAACACCUAUUGCGAAGGCAGCAGGCUAAACAAAUAUUAACGCUGAGGCUCGAAAGCGUGGGGAUCAAACAGG
This 253-nucleotide ribosomal RNA is filed under the name uncultured bacterium. RNAcentral's name for it is "partial 16S ribosomal RNA". It matches the Rfam family "Bacterial small subunit ribosomal RNA", at positions 524 to 776 of the family's 1533-position model. The record is from RNAcentral.